AACGAACGCUGGCGGCAUGCCUAACACAUGCAAGUCGAACGAGACCUUCGGGUCUAGUGGCGCACGGGUGCGUAACGCGUGGGAACCUGCCCUUAGGUUCGGAAUAACUCCCCGAAAGGGGUGCUAAUACCGGUUAAUGUCUUCGAACAAAAGAUUUAUCGCUUUUGGAUGGGCCCGCGUUGGAUUAGCUAGUUGGUAGGGUAAAAGCCUACCAAGGAGACGAUCCAUAGCUGGUCUGAGAGGAUGAUCAGCCACACUGGGACUGAGACACGGCCCAGACUCCUACGGGAGGCAGCAGUGGGGAAUAUUGGACAAGGGGCGAAAGCCUGAUCCAGCAAUGCCGCGUGAGUGAUGAAGGCUUGAGGGUUGAAAAGCUCUUUUACCGGGGAUGAUAAGGACAGUACCGGGGGAAUAAGCUCGGGCAAACUCGG
This 431-nucleotide ribosomal RNA is filed under the name uncultured bacterium. RNAcentral's name for it is "partial 16S ribosomal RNA". It matches the Rfam family "Bacterial small subunit ribosomal RNA", at positions 29 to 505 of the family's 1533-position model. The record is from RNAcentral.